This 450-nucleotide ribosomal RNA is filed under the name uncultured bacterium. RNAcentral's name for it is "partial 16S ribosomal RNA". It matches the Rfam family "Bacterial small subunit ribosomal RNA", at positions 354 to 796 of the family's 1533-position model. The record is from RNAcentral.
GUGGGGAAUAUUCCGCAAUGGACGAAAGUCUGACGGAGCAACGCCGCGUGAGUGAUGAAGGUUUUCGGACUGUAAAGCUCUGUUGUUUAGGACGAAAGUGCCUGUUGCAAACAGUUACAGGUAUUGACGGUACUAAACGAGGAAGCCACGGCUAACUACGUGCCAGCAGCCGCGGUAAUACGUAGGUGGCAAGCGUUGUCCGGAAUUAUUGGGCGUAAAGAGCAUGUAGGCGGGAAUCUAAGUCUGUUGUUAAAAUGCGGGGCUCAACCCCGUAUUGCGAUGGAAACUGGGUUUCUUGAGUGCAGGAGAGGAAAGGGGAAUUCCCAGUGUAGCGGUGAAAUGCGUAGAUAUUGGGAGGAACACCAGUGGCGAAGGCGCCUUUCUGGACUGUGUCUGACGCUGAGAUGCGAAAGCCAGGGUAGCGAACGGGAUUAGAAACCCCUGUAGUCC